RNAcentral lists this transfer RNA (71 nucleotides) under Sphaerodactylus townsendi. Its description in RNAcentral is "tRNA-Ala". Lineage: Eukaryota; Metazoa; Chordata; Lepidosauria; Squamata; Sphaerodactylidae. The record is from RNAcentral.
GGACCAUGGCUCUGUGGAAGAGUAUCUGCUCAGCAUGCAGAACAUUCCGAGUUCAAUCCCCAGCAUAUCCA